AGCAAACAACUAGCAGUCCGCAGCAGGUGAGACCCACCAGAAAGCCUCCCAAAAGAGAAACCAGCCACUAGCAGCACAGUGCAGAAAAGGGGAUGCUAGUUUGAAACAGCAAAAGAAAAAGAUCCCUGCAGCUCGAUCUUCAUAAUAAGGAAAGGCCUGGGCUACCUAAUCUUUAUCCUUCUUCUGACUCUGUUUUUGAAUUUCUGAACCUUGCCACCAUGCCUUCAUGUUUUCUUCGUGAUACAAGGACAACCAAAUCUAUGGGUUUACUGCUACUCACUUUUGGACAGGUGAUAUAAUAUAUUGUGUCAUCAUCACUCACCCAAUCUAUGACCUUACAAGACCUGAUGUAAGGUUUAGAGCAAAGAAGUGAUCAGAAGAUAAAUCAGAAUAGUAUUACCUCAUAAGAAACACAGCAGCAACAGAUUCAGAGAAACAAGGGAAGACUUGUACAAAAUGAUGCAGAGUGAAGUGAGCAGAAGAACAAUUUAUAUGACUACAUUGUAAGGAAAAAUAACUUGGAAAAAAUAAAGAAUUGUGAGCAAUGAGAUAAUUGAUCACAAGCUCCAGAAGACUAAUGGUGGUAAUGAGGUAAUGGAGGCAGUGACUGUAAUAUCCUUUUUAAAAGUUUGGCUUUUAAGAGAAGAAGAAAAAUAGAUCAGUGAUAAUUCAAACUGCUGGAAGCAUUAAAAGAAGAAAAUUUUUAAGGACUGGAACAUAUGAGCAUCUUUCUAGACAGAGGAGAAAUAACCAGUGAAGAUGGAGAAAUUUAGAUGUAGAAGACCUGAAUAUUAAAGAUCAGACAGUAAAAAUUAAAAGGGAAGGAGAUUACAUAUCUUUUGCAACUUUGGAUAGGAAGUGUAUUCUUAAUCAAAUAGAGGAUAGAAGCAACUACAUAAGAUAAAAUAGAUAAUUUACAUUACAUUACACUGAAAAUGCACAAAUAAAAUUAAUGUACUAGGAUUAUAAGCAAAGCAGACAAAUGUAAAAAAAUCUAUCAGAUUUCUCAGAUGAGUUAGUAUCCAGAAUAUAUGGAUAUCUAACAGACUUAUAAAACCAAAAGUCAUCUUCCCCAUUGACAAUAAUAAAAUGAUAUGAACAAACAGUUCU
Sarcophilus harrisii (Tasmanian devil) is the source of this 1110-nucleotide long non-coding RNA. RefSeq lists it as uncharacterized. The transcript has 4 exons. The record is from RefSeq and is a predicted model, not a curated record. NCBI's taxonomy places the organism in Eukaryota, Metazoa, Chordata, Mammalia, Dasyuromorphia, Dasyuridae.